This is a long non-coding RNA of Gambusia affinis (western mosquitofish), 596 nucleotides long. RefSeq lists it as uncharacterized. The transcript has 3 exons. The record is from RefSeq and is a predicted model, not a curated record. Lineage: Eukaryota; Metazoa; Chordata; Actinopteri; Cyprinodontiformes; Poeciliidae.
UUUAGCUACUUACUUCGCCGUGGUUACUUGAAAUGCCAACAAAAGUAAUAGUGCCCCUCACGAGCCGCACAUUUUGAAAUAUACUAAGUGAGGGGGCAUGCAGCGGUACGAGCCGCUUUAACGGUGAAAGGAAGUGGCGGUUAUUUUGAGGUGUUGAAAAAUAGCCAUGUAUCGAUAUGGCAGGCCCCAAAAACAAACUGAAGGCAUUAUAUCAAACAUGGAUUAUUUUAAAAUAUGGUCAACGAUUUGACACAGGGGUGCUUUGUUGUUUCAGCAGCCGCUCAAUGUUUUUCUUGUAACAUGUGCUGUUUAGUUGCAGAAAAAUGUUUUGAUUUUGCAUCAUAUCAUAACAUGGGGAUAUGAAGCCCGUUUUGUGAAUCCUUACGUCAGGACAUAUAUGUGAAAAAUUUUGUGAGUGUUCAAAACGAUCGUGAAUGGAGAAAAUAAGAACGUGCAAUCAAUUGGAGCUACUUCAAGCAUUCAGCAUGCAGAGGUCAGGUUUUUUUUUUUGGUUUGUUAUGGUGCACUUUUUGACCUGGAGACCCUCCUCGCCUGAACUUGGACGGCGAGCCCCAGCCCAGAGGACCAAGACUUCG